AUUGAACGCUGGCGGCAGGCCUAACACAUGCAAGUCGAACGAGUGGCGGACGGGUGAGUAAUGUCUGGGAAACUGCCCGAUGGAGGGGGAUAACUACUGGAAACGGUAGCUAAUACCGCAUACCAUCGGAUGUGCCCAGAUGGGAUUAGCUAGUAGGUGGGGUAACGGCUCACCUAGGCGACGAUCCCUAGCUGGUCUGAGAGGAUGACCGGCCACACUGGAACUGAGACACGGUCCAGACUCCUACGGGAGGCAGCAGUGGGGAAUAUUGCACAAUGGGCGCAAGCCUGAUGCAGCAAUGCCGCGUGAAUGAAGAAGGCCUUCGGGUUGUAAAGUUCUGUCGUUGGGGAGGCGUUACUCACAGAGGAAGCACCGGCUAACUCCGUGCCAGCAGCCGCGGUAAUAC
RNAcentral lists this ribosomal RNA (406 nucleotides) under uncultured bacterium. RNAcentral describes it as "partial 16S ribosomal RNA". It matches the Rfam family "Bacterial small subunit ribosomal RNA", at positions 30 to 526 of the family's 1533-position model. The record is from RNAcentral.